AUGCGAUACGUAGUGUGAAUUGCAGAAUUCAGUGAAUCAUCGAAUCUUUGAACGCACAUUGCGCCCUUUGGUAUUCCAAAGGGCAUGCCUGUUCGAGCGUCAUUUGUACCCUCAAGCUUUGCUUGGUGUUGGGCGUCUUUUGUCUCCAGUUCGCUGGAGACUCGCCUUAAAGUCAUUGGCAGCCGGCCUACUGGUUUCGGAGCGCAGCACAAGUCGCGCUCUUUGCCAGCCAAGGUCAGCGUCCAGCAAGCCUUUUUUUCAACCUUUGACCUCGGAUCAGGUAGGGAUACCCGCUGAACUUAA
Molecule: unclassified non-coding RNA, 303 nt
Filed under: uncultured Alternaria
Lineage: Eukaryota; Fungi; Ascomycota; Dothideomycetes; Pleosporales; Pleosporaceae
Description: partial contains 5.8S ribosomal RNA, internal transcribed spacer 2, and large subunit ribosomal RNA
Rfam family: 5.8S ribosomal RNA (bases 1-102)
Source: RNAcentral